Molecule: long non-coding RNA, 1879 nt
Filed under: Gossypium barbadense (sea-island cotton)
Lineage: Eukaryota; Viridiplantae; Streptophyta; Magnoliopsida; Malvales; Malvaceae
Description: long non-coding RNA (GBAR_LNC018970)
Source: RNAcentral
UGCAUCACCUUGGAUGGUGGUUUUGUCGUCUUGUGCGAUGGAGUGUUGGCUUCUUGAAUACGUUUUGGUUUUCAUUCUUUGACAGUGGCUUCGAGCGGUGAUCUUGUCGUAUUCGUUGUUGCACUUUUUUACGUCUUUUCUUAUGUUUUGUUUUGUUCUCUUUUUGCUUUCUUUUCUGGUGUCGAGCUGAUCGGGGGGUGGUUCGCUCUCGGUGUGUUGGGGUGAAUGUUUUCCUGGUUCUCCGUGGUGGUUUUUGGGCCGUUCUUUCUUCGACGACUGGUGCACCUGGAUCAGUGUUGAUUCGGAGUGAUGGUGGCGGUCCUUAUGUCCGGGCUUCCUCUCGGUUUUUCUUUAUCUUGUUUAGUUCUUUUUCUGUCUUGUAAUUUUGCUCCAGUUUAUGUUAUCUUGUAAAAGGAUUGUAUAAAGAACUGUUUAAUAUUUUGUUUUGGUUUGUUCUUUUUUCCUUUUGUUUCGUUGUUGUGUUUGUGUGAUUGCUGGGUUUUUCGAUUGUUUUUUCUGUUCAUGAUGCUUUCCUGCUGUAGUUACUAAAUUUCAGCUUUUGGUUCUUGUGCUGUUAUUUUUUCUUGUGUCUUUUGUCUUUGGUACCGUGGUUUAGUGGCUCUUUCCGGUUGCGGUUGGGGGAGGUGGCCUUGAUUUGACUUGGUGCUCGUUGGACUGUUUCUUCGACGGUGUGCACAUCUGAAACUAAGCUCCGAUAAGAAUGAUCUGUUGAAAAUUCUCGAAGGGAGGGUCUCCCUUCAAGGCAGCGACCGGCGAUCAGCCACACCCAGAGCUAUGAAAAUCUUUUGUUGGAACUGCCGUGGGGGAGGGAGCCCUGCGAAAGUUUGUGAGUUGAGACAACUUCUUGCUAUUAAUGAUCCUAAUAUUGUCUUUCUAAGUGAAACUAAGCUUCGGGCUAACGAGUUCGAACAUAUUCGAGUUUGAUAGGGUUAACGUGACUAUUCAGAAUUACUUUGAGCAUCAUGUGGAUUCUGUGGUUAAAAUAGAGGGGAAUGAUUAAAUUUGUUUUAUGGGCUUCUAUGGUUACCCCAACCCUAAUUAGAGACAUUUGUCGUGGAGCACUAUUCGGAGGGUUGGGACUCUUAUGAGUAGGGAUUGAGUUAUUGGGGGGAUUUCAAUGAGGUGAUGGAUGAUGCAGAGAAGUGUGGGGGGAGCACAGGCCUAGAGUGGCCAUGGAUAACUUCCGAAUGGUUAUGGAUGAGCUUGCCUUGGUUGAUGUCAAGCCCGAUAAUGUAAUAUCCUUAACCCGUUUUCGUUGUCGAAUUAGGGUUACAGAGUAUUACUGUCUAGGCAAUAAUAUUAAACAUCAUAACAUUCAAUAACAUAAAUAUAUCAUAAACCAUUCAUUCACAUACAUUUCGUCCCUAAAUCGAGCCUUUGAGGCCCUAGAAAUAGCUUGGAAGCAAUUCAGGACUAAUUUGAAACAAAAUAGAAAGUUUAGGAAAAAGUUGCAAAAAUUAGAAACAAGGGUCACACGGCCGUGUGGAAUCACCCCAGGUCGUGUAACUUUUGUACAAGGGACACACGGCCGUGUUUCAACUCGUGUCCUCACCCGUGUAACUCACUAAGUAGGGUCAUACGACCGUGUCACACGUUUGUGUGUUAGGUCGUGUAACUCUCUGAGUUGCCCCACACGCCCGUCUGUUAGGCCGCGUAACUCACUGACUUGAAUACUAAGGAACUCCCAUAUGACACACGACUAUGUCGUCAGGCCGUGUGCCUCACAUGGCUGGGUCACACACCUGUGUUCCAAGCCGCAUGAACCCAAAAAUACCUAUUUCAAGCCUAUUCCUCACUUAUUUUCACAAGUUCAUACAUUAUGACUUGAUAUGCAUAAACAAGCUUUCAUAAACACCAA